Molecule: ribosomal RNA, 447 nt
Filed under: uncultured bacterium
Lineage: Bacteria
Description: bacterial SSU rRNA
Rfam family: Bacterial small subunit ribosomal RNA
Source: RNAcentral
UCGGGAAUUUUGGGCAAUGGGCGAAAGCCUGACCCAGCAACGCCGCGUGAAGGAUGAAGUAUUUCGGUAUGUAAACUUCGAAAGAAUAGGAAGAAUAAAUGACGGUACUAUUUGUAAGGUCCGGCUAACUACGUGCCAGCAGCCGCGGUAAUACGUAGGGACCAAGCGUUGUUCGGAUUUACUGGGCGUAAAGGGCGCGUAGGCGGCGUGGUAAGUCAUCUGUGAAAUCUCCGAGCUUAACUCGGAACGGUCAGAUGAUACUGCUGUGCUAGAGUACAGAAGGGGCAAUCGGAAUUCUUGGUGUAGCGGUGAAAUGCGUAGAUAUCAAGAGGAACACCUGAGGUGAAGACGGGUUGCUGGGCUGAUACUGACGCUGAGGCGCGAAAGCUAGGGUAGCAAACGGGAUUAGAUACCCUCGUAGUCCCUGAGCGGGCUGGCAAGGCGCAU